Molecule: ribosomal RNA, 478 nt
Filed under: uncultured bacterium
Lineage: Bacteria
Description: partial 16S ribosomal RNA
Rfam family: Bacterial small subunit ribosomal RNA
Source: RNAcentral
GAUUAACGCUGGCGGCGUGCAUAACACAUGCAAGUCGAACGAUGAAACUUUACUGACUUCUUCGGAAUGAUUUAAAUCUUAUUCGUUGCGAACGGUUUAGUAACGCUUGAGUAACCUGCCUUACACAAGGGGAUAGCCUCUGGAAACGGAGAAUACUACCCUAUGAAACCAGACACUCGCCUGCUAAUCUGGUCACACUGUUUCGUGGUGUCCGAUGGCCUUGCGUCUGCUUAGCUAGUUGGUGAGAUAAAAGCUCACCAAGGCAACGAUCAGUAGCCGGCUUGAGAGAGUGUACGGCCACAUUGGGACUGAGACACGGCCCAGACUCCUACGGGAGGCAGCAGUGGGGAAUUUUGCACAAUGGGGGAAAACCUGAUGCAGCGACGCCGCGUGAUUUAGAAGGCCUUCGGGUUGUAAAAAUCUUUUGUAUAGGAAGAAAAUGACAGUACUAUACGAAUAAGGUCCGGCUAAUUACGUG